RNAcentral lists this ribosomal RNA (439 nucleotides) under uncultured bacterium. RNAcentral describes it as "partial 16S ribosomal RNA". It matches the Rfam family "Bacterial small subunit ribosomal RNA", at positions 339 to 795 of the family's 1533-position model. The record is from RNAcentral.
CUACGGGACGCUGCAGUGAGGAAUAUUGCACAAUGGGGGGAACCCUGAUGCAGCAACGCCGCGUGGAGGAUGACGCAUUUCGGUGUGUAAACUCCUUUUAUAUGUCAAGAAAAUGACGGUAGCAUAUGAAUAAGCACCCGCUAACUCCGUGCCAGCAGCCGCGGUAAUACGGAGGGUGCAAGCGUUAUUCGGAAUCACUGGGCGUAAAGGACGCGUAGGCGGGUUGGAAAGUCAGGUGUGAAAUCCUACAGCUUAACUGUAGAACUGCACUUGAAACUUCUAAUCUAGAGUAUGGGAGGGGGAGAUGGAAUUAGUGGUGUAGGGGUAAAAUCCGUAGAUAUCACUAGGAAUACCUAAAGCGAAGGCGAUCUCCUGGAACAUUACUGACGCUAAGGCGUGAAAGCGUGGGGAGCAAACAGGAUUAGAUACCCUCGUAGUC